UGGGGAAUUUUGGACAAUGGGCGAAAGCCUGAUCCAGCAAUGCCGCGUGUGUGAAGAAGGCCUUCGGGUUGUAAAGCACUUUUGUCCGGAAAGAAAUCCUUGGCUCUAAUACAGUCGGGGGAUGACGGUACCGGAAGAAUAAGCACCGGCUAACUACGUGCCAGCAGCCGCGGUAAUACGUAGGGUGCAAGCGUUAAUCGGAAUUACUGGGCGUAAAGCGUGCGCAGGCGGUUUGCUAAGACCGAUGUGAAAUCCCCGGGCUCAACCUGGGAACUGCAUUGGUGACUGGCAGGCUAGAGUAUGGCAGAGGGGGGUAGAAUUCCACGUGUAGCAGUGAAAUGCGUAGAGAUGUGGAGGAAUACCGAUGACGAAGGCAGCCCCCUGGGCCAAUACUGACGCUCAUGCACGAAAGCGUGGGGAGCAAACAGGAUUAGAUACCCUGGUAGUCCACGCCCUAAACGAUGUCAACUAGUUGUUGGGGAUUCAUUUCCUUAGUAACGUAGCUAACGCGUGAAGUUGACCGCCUGGGGAGUACGGUCGCAAGAUUAAAACUUAAAUGAAUUGACGGGGUCAUAGCUGUUUCCU
This 585-nucleotide ribosomal RNA is filed under the name uncultured bacterium. RNAcentral's name for it is "partial 16S ribosomal RNA". It matches the Rfam family "Bacterial small subunit ribosomal RNA", at positions 355 to 1375 of the family's 1533-position model. The record is from RNAcentral.